AGACCCGAAACCCGGUGAUCUAGCCAUGGGCAGGUUGAAGGUUGGGUAACACUAACUGGAGGACCGAACCGACUAAUGUUGAAAAAUUAGCGGAUGACCUGUGGCUGGGGGUGAAAGGCCAAUCAAACCGGGAGAUAGCUGGUUCUCCCCGAAAGCUAUUUAGGUAGCGCCUCGUGAAUUCAUCUCCGGGGGUAGAGCACUGUUUCGGCUAGGGGGCCAUCCCGGCUUACCAACCCGAUGCAAACUGCGAAUACCGGAGAAUGUUAUCACGGGAGACACACGGCGGGUGCUAACGUCCGUCGUGAAGAGGGAAACAACCCAGACCGCCAGCUAAGGUCCCAAAGUCAUGGUUAAGUGGGAAACGAUGUGGGAAGGCCCAGACAGCCAGGAUGUUGGCUUAGAAGCAGCCAUCAUUUAAAGAAAGCGUAAUAGCUCACUGGUCGAGUCGGCCUGCGCGGAAGAUGUAACGGGGCUAAACCAUGCACCGAAGCUGCGGCAGCGACGCUGAUGCGUUGUUGGGUAGGGGAGCGUUCUGUAAGCCUGCGAAGGUGUGCUGUGAGGCAUGCUGGAGGUAUCAGAAGUGCGAAUGCUGAC
This 594-nucleotide ribosomal RNA is filed under the name Salmonella enterica subsp. enterica serovar Cerro. RNAcentral's name for it is "partial 23S ribosomal RNA". It matches the Rfam family "Bacterial large subunit ribosomal RNA", at positions 711 to 1301 of the family's 2925-position model. The record is from RNAcentral. Lineage: Bacteria; Pseudomonadati; Pseudomonadota; Gammaproteobacteria; Enterobacterales; Enterobacteriaceae.